GCUUGCUCUGGCAACGAGCAUCCGCGAAUUGGAGCGAUACGGAGACGAGGAGCAUGGUCCCCGCGCGAGGAUGACAGGCACAUUCGUACACGUUCCGUAUGAAA
This 104-nucleotide small nuclear RNA is filed under the name Panthera tigris altaica (Amur tiger). Lineage: Eukaryota; Metazoa; Chordata; Mammalia; Carnivora; Felidae. The record is from RNAcentral.